RNAcentral lists this ribosomal RNA (490 nucleotides) under uncultured bacterium. RNAcentral describes it as "partial 16S ribosomal RNA". It matches the Rfam family "Bacterial small subunit ribosomal RNA", at positions 28 to 507 of the family's 1533-position model. The record is from RNAcentral.
GAUGAACGCUAGCUACAGGCUUAACACAUGCAAGUCGCGGGGCAGCAUGGGGGUUGCUUGCAAUCCCCGAUGGCGACCGGCGCACGGGUGAGUAACGCGUAUCCAACCUGCCCUUCACCACGGGAUAACCCGGCGAAAGUCGGACUAAUACCGUAUGUUGUCCAUUGACGGCAUCCGAUUUGGACGAAAGGCUUGGCGGUGAGGGAGGGGGAUGCGUCCGAUUAGCCAGACGGCGGGGUAACGGCCCACCGUGGCUACGAUCGGUAGGGGUUCUGAGAGGAAGGUCCCCCACACUGGAACUGAGACACGGUCCAGACUGCUACGGGAGGCAGCAGUGAGGAAUAUUGGUGAAUGGACGUAAGCCUGAACCAGCCAAGUAGCGUGCAGGAGGACGGCCCUAUGGGUUGUAAACUGCUUGUAUGCGGGGAUAAAGUGGCACAAGUGUGGGCUUUUGCAGGUACCGAAUGAAUAAGGACCGGCCAAUUCCGUG